AAGCAACACUCUGUGGCAGAUGACCAAAUUGUCUGACACAAUAUGAGCUUGCUAUAGCAAGAAGAUCUAACCUAUUCCAGCGUUUUCUCCUCCAUGAGACCAAUUGUUAUAUAGAUUUAAAAAGU
This is a non-coding RNA of Canis lupus familiaris (dog), 125 nucleotides long. Lineage: Eukaryota; Metazoa; Chordata; Mammalia; Carnivora; Canidae. The record is from Rfam.